AUUUCUACCCUGAAACAAACAGUUUGCUUUGACAGCAUGAGUAGUACAUGUCUGUCAUCCAUUAUUGCAUCUAAAUACAAGGUAAUCAGACUAAUAUACCUGAAUAGUAUAAGUAUUGAAACUUUUCUGCUAUAUUUCCCAAUAAGUGUAUGUUUUACCACAGAAUGCCAGUGUGGUCUGUGAACAGUCUGCAACAUUGUGAGUCAUUGAUACUAAAUCUUGUUUGAGUGUAGUACUUUUGUACUUGAACACAUCUGUAGCAGUUAAACAAUAAUAUCUGUAAUGUAUUUCUCUUGCUUUUUAAAGUCAAAGCUGCAAAGGGAUUUUAGGUUUUGGGCACGAGAUCCCGAUCUGUUCAGUAGCAGCAGCUGUGAGGAAUGUGUUUCAGCUGGAAGAACAGAUCCUUUUCACAGGGGAAGUGAGACGAGCAGGUGAGUGGAUUUUUCACUGAUAAUUAGAAAUACGAUCACUUGGAUUUAAAUAACGUGUGGUAUCUCAUUUCAUGUCUCUUAGCAAUUUGUGGAAAUCUGAAAGUCAGCAACGACCCACUGGACUCCCAGUUCACCUGGACUGACAGUAACCUGAAACCUGCAAACUUCUGUACACAAGCACAGAACCCUCACACCCUCGCAUGUCAAAAUGGAACAAAUUUGAUUGUGCAGCUGGACGAGUUGUGUGAUGCAAGUGUUGUGUCAACUACAACAAACCCAUCAACCUCACAGCCAGACGCCAAUGUUACAACCUCACAGCCAAACAUGACAACCUCACAGCCAGACACCAAUGUUACAACCUCACAGCCAAACAUGACAACCUCACAGCCAGACACCAAUGUUACAACCUCACAGCCAAACAUGACAACCUCACAGCCAGACACCAAUGUUACAACCUCACAGUCAAACAUGACAACCUCACAGCCAGACACCAAUGUUACAACCUCACAGCCAGACACCAACUUUACAUCCUCCCAACAAAACAACAAUGUGACAACCUCACUGCCAGACACCAAUGUUACAACCUCCCUGCCAGGUAAUGUUACUACCGGCCAACAAGACACCAAUGUUACAACCUCCCAGCAAGACAACAAUGUUACAACCUCCCUGCCAGGUAAUGUUACUACCGGCCAACAAGACACCAACGUUACAACCUCCCAACAAGACAACAAUGUGACAACCUCACUGCCAGACAACAUGACAACCUCCUUACCAAGUAGCAUGACUACCUCACAGCCAUAUGCCACUACCCUGUCUCAAAAUGAGACAGCAUUCACCCCAAAGCCACCAGCAACAACUCAACCAAACACAACAACAACAACAAAGCCACUACAAAAUACAACAAGAAGCCCAGAAAAGACAACAUCUGCUGACAGAAGCACAGCAACAACAAUCACUACAACUAACUCUGGGAACUCUUCAGCUGAAAGUCAGGCCGACCGACUGCUGCAGAUGACCGGAGACAUGUCUAACCUGACCUCUGCAGAUUUAGAAAAUCUGGUCUCUGAACUGGAGAAACUUCUGUCAGGUCCAACUGUGAGCCUGGCUCUGGGAAACAUCUCCAUCCAUGUUGUCAGCAAUCUGUUGGGCGCCUCACCUGAGAAGAUGUUGGGCUUCUCCAGAAGGUUAACCAUACUCCCUCAGUGUUUCGUAAAAUAUGAUCUUAUCAAAGAACCGAUUGGAACAAAUGUCCUGUUAUUAAAUGCUGAAAUGACUAAAUAA
Long non-coding RNA from Nothobranchius furzeri (turquoise killifish), 1712 nucleotides. Lineage: Eukaryota; Metazoa; Chordata; Actinopteri; Cyprinodontiformes; Nothobranchiidae. The record is from Ensembl.